Molecule: non-coding RNA, 232 nt
Organism: Lolium perenne
Lineage: Eukaryota; Viridiplantae; Streptophyta; Magnoliopsida; Poales; Poaceae
Source: RefSeq, a predicted model, not a curated record
CAUGAAUUGCCUUAUGCACUCAGCCGAGUCCCUCCCUGUGUCUACUUUGGCUUCAAAUUUUCCGAAUUCUGUCAUAGCUAAGGGUGUAUGUUUCCCUGGUUCGGAUGCUCCUGUUGUUAAUGUCAAUUCAUCUAAGUUUUUGCCAAGUGCGGCUAUGGAGAAUGGUGAGGGGUAUGCCCAAACUGUUUUACCUACAGCGGAGCUAGCUGAUAAGGUGGGGGAGAACACGUCG